Molecule: ribosomal RNA, 587 nt
Filed under: uncultured bacterium
Lineage: Bacteria
Description: bacterial SSU rRNA
Rfam family: Bacterial small subunit ribosomal RNA
Source: RNAcentral
CCUACGGGAGGCAGCAGUAGGGAAUCUUCCACAAUGGACGAAAGUCUGAUGGAGCAACGCCGCGUGAGCGAUGAAGGCCUUCGGGUCGUAAAGCUCUGUUGUUAGGGAAGAACAAGUACCGGAGUAACUGCCGGUACCUUGACGGUACCUAACCAGAAAGCCACGGCUAACUACGUGCCAGCAGCCGCGGUAAUACGUGGGUGGCAAGCGUUGUCCGGAAUUAUUGGGCGUAAAGCGCGCGCAGGCGGUCCUUUAAGUCUGAUGUGAAAGCCCACGGCUCAACCGUGGAGGGUCAUUGGAAACUGGGGGACUUGAGUACUGAAGAGGAAAGUGGAAUUCCACGUGUAGCGGUGAAAUGCGUAGAGAUGUGGAGGAACACCAGUGGCGAAGGCGACUUUCUGGUCUGUAACUGACGCUGAGGCGCGAAAGCGUGGGGAGCAAACAGGAUUAGAUACCCUGGUAGUCCACGCCGUAAACGAUGAGUGCUAAGUGUUAGAGGGUUUCCGCCCUUUAGUGCUGCAGCUAACGCAUUAAGCACUCCGCCUGGGGAGUACGGCCGCAAGGCUGAAACUCAAAGGAAUUGACGG